GGAAGGUAGAACCCUGGGCCAAGACUGCAAAAAGCCAGCCCGAGCAGGAAGACAGUCAAGUUCAAAGGGAGAUUUGAAGUUGCCAUGCUGCUGCUGGCUUUGAAGACAGAGGAAGAGGCCACCGCCUGGAGAACUCAGAGCAAAUAGAGCCCAAUCACAUAAAACCACAACUGGACACAUGCAGAGACCAACAGAUCCUGGGAGCCCACCCCAGUGGAUACAGCUACAUCAUAGCUCCUGUAUCUACGGCUCUGGGAACAUCACAGAAGAGGAGCCAGAAAGACUGACAGGACACCAGAAAGUCUGCAGAGAAACAGUCUCUCCUAGAAAUGGGGCAUAAUCAAGACGGAAAUAACAGCAAUGUCAAGAGACGUAUUAAUGUAGAAAGGGGAAAAGGUUUUUUUUGAGUACCCCUAGACUACAGGCAACUGAUGACUGCUAGGACAUGAGCCUCCUUAACGGUUGUCCAAGGUGGAGUGGUCAGCCUCAAAACCAUAUCGACACCAUCAACAAAAGUGGACUCGGAAGGUUGUAUUUGUAUAUAUUUGUGUGGAUACACAUACACACAUUCUCCUCUAUAUAU
Non-coding RNA from Peromyscus maniculatus bairdii (prairie deer mouse), 583 nucleotides. NCBI's taxonomy places the organism in Eukaryota, Metazoa, Chordata, Mammalia, Rodentia, Cricetidae. The record is from RefSeq and is a predicted model, not a curated record.